RNAcentral lists this ribosomal RNA (253 nucleotides) under uncultured bacterium. RNAcentral describes it as "partial 16S ribosomal RNA". It matches the Rfam family "Bacterial small subunit ribosomal RNA", at positions 524 to 776 of the family's 1533-position model. The record is from RNAcentral.
UACGGGGGGUGCGAGCGUUGUCCGGAAUCACUGGGCGUAAAGCGCACGUAGGCGGACUCUUAAGUCGGUGGUGAAAUCCUGGAGCUCAACUCCAGAACUGCCUUCGAUACUGAGAGUCUUGAGUCCGGGAGAGGUGAGUGGAACUGCGAGUGUAGAGGUGAAAUUCGUAGAUAUUCGCAAGAACACCAGUGGCGAAGGCGGCUCACUGGCCCGGUACUGACGUUGAGGUGCGAAAGCGUGGGGAGCAAACAGG